Ictidomys tridecemlineatus (thirteen-lined ground squirrel) is the source of this 933-nucleotide non-coding RNA. The record is from RefSeq and is a predicted model, not a curated record. NCBI's taxonomy places the organism in Eukaryota, Metazoa, Chordata, Mammalia, Rodentia, Sciuridae.
CUGUACUCUAAUUCUUUAGAGAGCCAUAAAUGGUCCUAAGAUCUAGGAUUUUUCACAUCCGCCCUCUACCCCCAAGAAUCAGUUUCACCCCCUUGGGGGCGAUAUUGCCCCUGUUGAGAAGGAAUGGCAUCUGCUAAUUUCUUAUUUCCAGGCAGGGGACGGAUGUAUUUUCUGUAAGAAUCUCACCCCUUUCCCCCUCUUAUCCAUACAGGAUUGUUAAGUGACAAGCAGAGGAAACUUUUUAAAACAUCUUUGAAGAUGCAUGAAGGAAGAGUGGCGAGAAGAAGGAGAGAAAUGCACCGGAGGCAUUUCUGCCCGGUGUGUGUGCACCCUGCCUGUGCUGCUGAGAGCAGAUUCUGAGAACCAGCACCUCUAAACCAGGAGGCCGGCUCCUGGCAGCAGCGGUGCAGGGGUGUGUGGCUGUAUGUCAGCAGCCCAAGGAAGCAGCCACCCACCGCCACCCCAGCUGGCUGCUGGACCUGCACUGCUGCUCUGCAGCCUGCAGACCCUUCCAAGCCAAGCAGCAAUUACAGCUCCGUGGCGUGGCGAUUGGGCUCGGCCGAUCCGCUCCUGCUAUUAAUUAAUCUUACAAAGGGGGCUCAUUUCCUGGCAUUCAAAUUGACAAGAGACCAGAGAACAGAAAAACCCUUUCAACCAGCUCCAGCUCACGGAGGGGAAGAGGUAUCGGAGGAGAGAGCCCCACAGUAUUUGAGGUGGAGGGCACAUUUGAUACUCUCUGUGCAUUCUGCUGAUUGAAUGAUUUUUGUUCAGGGAGAGCUCUUUUACUGAUCUUUUACCUGCAAAAGCCUUCCACAGAAGGCGAGGCAGCACCAAUGUAGCUGCGUUUUGACAGAGGAGAUUUACAGGAGCUUGCUUCCCGGGUCUCAGGCUCCCGAAUGCAUCUUCUUGAACAUUACACUUCACUUAAAAAAA